CCUACGGGGGGCAGCAGUGAGGAAUAUUGGUCAAUGGACGAGAGUCUGAACCAGCCAAGUAGCGUGAGGGAUGACUGCCCUAUGGGUUGUAAACUUCUUUUAUAUGGGAAUAAAACGUUCCACGUGUGGGAUUUUGUAUGUACCAUAUGAAUAAGGAUCGGCUAACUCCGUGCCAGCAGCCGCGGUAAUACGGAGGAUCCGAGCGUUAUCCGGAUUUAUUGGGUUUAAAGGGAGCGUAGGUGGAUUGUUAAGUCAGUUGUGAAAGUUUGCGGCUCAACCGUAAAAUUGCAGUUGAAACUGGCAGUCUUGAGUACAGUAGAGGUGGGCGGAAUUCGUGGUGUAGCGGUGAAAUGCUUAGAUAUCACGAAGAACUCCGAUUGCGAAGGCAGUUCACUGGACUGCAACUGACACUGAGGCUCGAAAGUGUGGGUAUCAAACAGGAUUAGAUACCCUUGUAGUC
This 460-nucleotide ribosomal RNA is filed under the name uncultured bacterium. Its description in RNAcentral is "partial 16S ribosomal RNA". It matches the Rfam family "Bacterial small subunit ribosomal RNA", at positions 338 to 795 of the family's 1533-position model. The record is from RNAcentral.